RNAcentral lists this ribosomal RNA (513 nucleotides) under uncultured bacterium. Its description in RNAcentral is "bacterial SSU rRNA". It matches the Rfam family "Bacterial small subunit ribosomal RNA", at positions 63 to 563 of the family's 1533-position model. The record is from RNAcentral.
CGAGGGGCAGCAUGGUCUUAGCUUGCUAAGGCUGAUGGCGACCGGCGCACGGGUGAGUAACACGUAUCCAACCUGCCGUCUACUCUUGGCCAGCCUUCUGAAAGGAAGAUUAAUCCAGGAUGGGAUCAUGAGUUCACAUGUCCGCAUGAUUAAAGGUAUUUUCCGGUAGACGAUGGGGAUGCGUUCCAUUAGAUAGUAGGCGGGGUAACGGCCCACCUAGUCAACGAUGGAUAGGGGUUCUGAGAGGAAGGUCCCCCACAUUGGAACUGAGACACGGUCCAAACUCCUACGGGAGGCAGCAGUGAGGAAUAUUGGUCAAUGGGCGAUGGCCUGAACCAGCCAAGUAGCGUGAAGGAUGACUGCCCUAUGGGUUGUAAACUUCUUUUAUAAAGGAAUAAAGUCGGGUAUGCAUACCCGUUUGCAUGUACUUUAUGAAUAAGGAUCGGCUAACUCCGUGCCAGCAGCCGCGGUAAUACGGAGGAUCCGAGCGUUAUCCGGAUUUAUUGGGUUUAA